This 740-nucleotide ribosomal RNA is filed under the name Entrophospora etunicata. Its description in RNAcentral is "LSU rRNA". It matches the Rfam family "Eukaryotic large subunit ribosomal RNA", at positions 58 to 649 of the family's 3401-position model. The record is from RNAcentral. Lineage: Eukaryota; Fungi; Glomeromycota; Glomeromycetes; Entrophosporales; Entrophosporaceae. RNAcentral also lists the same sequence under 1 other name.
AAAGAAACUAACAAGGAUUCCCCUAGUAACGGCGAGUGAAGAGGGAAGAGCUCAAAUUUUAAAUCUGCCUUGUUCCAAGGUCGAGUUGUAAUUUGAAGAAGCGUUUUCUUGGGCUCGCGGCCGGUAGAAGUUCUUUGGAACAGGACAUCAUAGAGGGUGACAAUCCCGUCCGUGACCGGUCGUGCGUUCAUMUACGAUACGCUUUCAAAGAGUCGAGUUGUUUGGGAUUGCAGCUCCAAACGGGUGGUAAACAUCACCUAAGGCUAAAUAUUGGCGAGAGACCGAUAGCGAACAAGUACCGUGAGGGAAAGAUGAAAAGAACUUUGAAAAGAGAGUUAAACAGUACGUGAAAUUGUUGAAAGGGAAACGAUUGAAGUCAGUCGUGCUGGCGCGAAAUCAACCCUCUCGUCUUGAGAUCACAUGGCGCGACGAGCCUCAAAACCGUCACGAAGCGUGAACUCUUGACGAAAAGGUGCACUUUCGUGUCCGCUGGUUAACAUCAAUUUCGAACGUCAUAAAAAGGCUGGAGGGAUGUGGCUCCUUCGGGAGUGUUAUAACCUUUAGCGGAAUGUGGCGUUCGGGAUUGAGGAUUGCAACGAAUACCUUCAGGGCUGUUCCACCUGGCUUCUCAUUGGUAUCCUGGUGACGACAGCUUGCUGACGUCGUUAGGAUCAGCUUCUGAACAGGCUAGAGUGUGAGCAAAUUCGUUAAGGAUGUUAACGUAAUGGCUUUAAACGACC